RNAcentral lists this ribosomal RNA (325 nucleotides) under Streptococcus suis. Its description in RNAcentral is "bacterial SSU rRNA". It matches the Rfam family "Bacterial small subunit ribosomal RNA", at positions 1 to 317 of the family's 1533-position model. The record is from RNAcentral. Lineage: Bacteria; Bacillati; Bacillota; Bacilli; Lactobacillales; Streptococcaceae.
UUUAUGAGAGUUUGAUCCUGGCUCAGGACGAACGCUGGCGGCGUGCCUAAUACAUGCAAGUAGAACGCUGAAGUCUGGUGCUUGCACUAGACGGAUGAGUUGCGAACGGGUGAGUAACGCGUAGGUAACCUGCCUCAUAGCGGGGGAUAACUAUUGGAAACGAUAGCUAAUACCGCAUAACAGUAUUUACCGCAUGGUAGAUAUUUGAAAGGAGCAAUUGCUUCACUAUGAGAUGGACCUGCGUUGUAUUAGCUAGUUGGUGAGGUAACGGCUCACCAAGGCUUCGAUACAUAGCCGACCUGAGAGGGUGAUCGGCCACACUGGG